GGGGAUAACACUUGGAAACAGGUGCUAAUACCGCAUAAUAGUCGACACCGCAUGGUGUUGAUUUGAAAGACGCUUUCGGGUGUCACUGAUGGAUGGACCCGCGGUGCAUUAGCUAGUUGGUGAGGUAACGGCUCACCAAGGCGAUGAUGCAUAGCCGACCUGAGAGGGUGAUCGGCCACACUGGGACUGAGACACGGCCCAGACUCCUACGGGAGGCAGCAGUAGGGAAUCUUCGGCAAUGGACGAAAGUCUGACCGAGCAACGCCGCGUGAGUGAAGAAGGUUUUCGGAUCGUAAAACUCUGUUGUUAGAGAAGAACAAGUAGGAGAGUAACUGCUCUUACCUUGACGGUAUCUAACCAGAAAGCCACGGCUAACUACGUGCCAGCAGCCGCGGUAAUACGUANGUGGCAAGCGUUGUCCGGAUUUAUUGGGCGUAAAGCGAGCGCANGCGGUUUCUUAAGUCUGAUGUGAAAGCCCCCGGCU
This 484-nucleotide ribosomal RNA is filed under the name uncultured bacterium. RNAcentral describes it as "bacterial SSU rRNA". It matches the Rfam family "Bacterial small subunit ribosomal RNA", at positions 139 to 609 of the family's 1533-position model. The record is from RNAcentral.